RNAcentral lists this long non-coding RNA (718 nucleotides) under Homo sapiens (human). RNAcentral's name for it is "HSALNT0236457". The record is from RNAcentral. Lineage: Eukaryota; Metazoa; Chordata; Mammalia; Primates; Hominidae.
CGCAUUCAGCGUUAUCACUCCCAUGGCAGAAUGAACAUGAUGGUCACCCAGGACAGGAGACCAAGAACACCCGCAGAGCCUCUCUCUCUCUCCGUCUCAGGGGCUAGAACACUGGAGUUCCGUCCCAGGCCUUCUGGUCAGGCCUGAGUGACACAGAGGACACUUGGACCAAGAGAAGCAGGGAAAUCCCAGGAGCCGUUGGCAGCCAGUUUUGCUGAACUAUAGCGACAUCAGGCACAACAUCAGACACAGAAGCAGCAACCUUACACAGAGGUAUGAACCUGCUCCUACAAUUAUAUCACUUGUAGUUCCUAUAAAACAUCCCUUAUUCUGUGAAACUCAAUAUGUUUCUGCUUCUAUGUUCAAACCCUGACUGAUACAGAAAUAAAGGGAUUUCUUGAGUCCAGAAAGGAUGCUGGCCACCCCUGUAGUAGGCUCCAGAAGUUUGUUUCCAUUUCUCAAUAAUGCAAGCACACAGCCGUCUUCCAAGCUGCUCCUAAAUUACACACAUCAACAUAAAUGUGCACAUGCUUCCUGCGGACGCGGAAUGGCAGCAUGCAGAACCAGGGCUUGGACCACUAUUCCCAGCCUGGUGUGACAGCCAGAGUGAUAGAGUCAGGAUUCAUCUAAGAAGGGCACUGAGGGGCUGUCCCAGCAGCAGGGUUGAGAAGGUGUCAGGUGAGUAAACUUGCAGGAACCACUAGAGUAUCUCAGCAUG